UACGGUCAUAUCACAUUGAAACACUAGUUCCUGUACGAUUACUGAAGUUAAGCAACGUCGAGCCUGGUCAGUACCUAGAAGGUUGACCGUUUGUGAAUACCAAGUGC
Acanthosepion pharaonis is the source of this 107-nucleotide non-coding RNA. The record is from the annotation of a GenBank genome assembly. NCBI's taxonomy places the organism in Eukaryota, Metazoa, Mollusca, Cephalopoda, Sepiida, Sepiidae.